UUAGCAGAAGCCAAAUAGAGGCUUAUUAUUGUUAAUAAUAGAAUUGAUAUAUCCUGU
This 57-nucleotide transfer RNA is filed under the name Metacrangonyx dhofarensis. Its description in RNAcentral is "tRNA-Asn". Lineage: Eukaryota; Metazoa; Arthropoda; Malacostraca; Amphipoda; Metacrangonyctidae. The record is from RNAcentral.